AUUUAUAAUCUGGCACCUUCGGUGUCCGAGUUGUAAUCUCUAGAAAUGUUUUCCGCGUUGGACCGCACACAAGUCUGUUGGAAUACAGCGGCAUAGUGGUGAGACCCCCGUAUAUGGUGCGGACGCCCAGCGCUUUGUGAUACAUUUUCGAAGAGUCGAGUUGUUUGGGAAUGCAGCUCAAAUUGGGUGGUAAAUUCCAUCUAAAGCUAAAUAUUGGCGAGAGACCGAUAGCGAACAAGUACCGUGAGGGAAAGAUGAAAAGCACUUUGGAAAGAGAGUUAACAGUACGUGAAAUUGUUGGAAGGGAAACGCUUGAAGACAGACUUGCUUGCCGAGCAAUCGGUUUGCAGGCCAGCAUCAGUUUUCCGGGAUGGAUAAUGGUAGAGAGAAGGUAGCAGUUUCGGCUGUGUUAUAGCUCUCUGCUGGAUACAUCUUGGGGGACUGAGGAACGGAGUGUGCCUUUGGCGGGGGUUUCGACCUCUUCACACUUAGGAUGCUGGUGGAAUGGCUUUAAACGACCCGUCUUGAAC
RNAcentral lists this ribosomal RNA (530 nucleotides) under Rhodotorula mucilaginosa. RNAcentral's name for it is "eukaryotic LSU rRNA". It matches the Rfam family "Eukaryotic large subunit ribosomal RNA", at positions 113 to 659 of the family's 3401-position model. Lineage: Eukaryota; Fungi; Basidiomycota; Microbotryomycetes; Sporidiobolales; Sporidiobolaceae. The record is from RNAcentral.